AACCAUAGAAACCUGCGGAGUACCUGCGGAGGGAUCAUUAAAAAGAUCGACCCAACAUAUGGACGAUCAAAUCCAUAUCCACCUUGUGUGCACUUAUUGACCGUUCGCUUUGGCAGGAGUUGUCUUCGAUCCGGCCCAACCCCUAAAAUUUAUUAGGGAGGGGGAGGGAUCGAAGCGGCGAGGGGGAAUAGUCCACCUCGGCCUGCCAGAGUUUUUCCCUUUAAAAGGGAAAAGAAAUAU
Molecule: unclassified non-coding RNA, 240 nt
Filed under: soil metagenome
Description: partial contains 5.8S ribosomal RNA, internal transcribed spacer 2, and large subunit ribosomal RNA
Source: RNAcentral